UGCUCUUGAGACUGGCAGGUUCUGGUUCCCCGCUCAGGUCUAUAACCGUGAGAAUGGGCAUGUUGGGUUCAUGUUAUCUUGCUAUGAUGCUGAGCUUUGCUAUGAUCCCCAGACUGACACAUUUCAAGCCAGGUACCCGCCACAUGGAAGGGUUGCCAUGGAAAUUGGUGUGCAAUGGGAAAGGCUUAGAGCACCACCUGUUGAUACUUCUCCGCAUGAUCUGCACAUCUCUGAUUGCUUGAAUGAUUUACACCCCGGUGAUUACAUUGAGAUUCAGUGGAGAAGAAACAAAGAGUUCCCUUAUGGUUGGUGGUAUGGUGUUGUAGGUCACUUGGAGUCAUGUGAUGGGAAUGAAAAUUAUUGCCGGUGUCAUGAUAGUGACACUGUAGUUUUGGAGUUCCAUCAGUACACUCGCGGCUCGCGGUGGAGAUGUACAAUUAUCAACAGGAAUUACCAUAGAGAGGAGGGGAAUGAAGCAGAUGGAUUUUAUGGAGGAAUCAGAAAGCUAAAGAGCAAUGAAGA
RNAcentral lists this unclassified non-coding RNA (522 nucleotides) under Hevea brasiliensis (rubber tree). The record is from RNAcentral. Lineage: Eukaryota; Viridiplantae; Streptophyta; Magnoliopsida; Malpighiales; Euphorbiaceae.